This is a small nuclear RNA of Prunus persica (peach), 162 nucleotides long. It matches the Rfam family "U1 spliceosomal RNA". From Rfam's summary of the family: U1 is a small nuclear RNA (snRNA) component of the spliceosome (involved in pre-mRNA splicing). Its 5' end forms complementary base pairs with the 5' splice junction, thus defining the 5' donor site of an intron. There are significant differences in sequence and secondary structure between metazoan and yeast U1 snRNAs, the latter being much longer (568 nucleotides as compared to 164 nucleotides in human). The record is from Rfam. Lineage: Eukaryota; Viridiplantae; Streptophyta; Magnoliopsida; Rosales; Rosaceae.
AUACUUACCUGGACGGGGUCAAUGGGCGAUCAAGAAGGCUCAUGGCCUAGGUUGGUGGCCUCCAUUGCACUUAGGAGGGGUGCCUGCCUAUGGUCUCCUCACUGUAGGAGAGCCAACGUCAUAAUUUGUUGCGGUGGGGGCCUGCGUCCGCGCGGCCCCUGU